RNAcentral lists this ribosomal RNA (567 nucleotides) under uncultured bacterium. RNAcentral's name for it is "partial 16S ribosomal RNA". It matches the Rfam family "Bacterial small subunit ribosomal RNA", at positions 355 to 938 of the family's 1533-position model. The record is from RNAcentral.
UGGGGAAUAUUGCACAAUGGGCGGAAGCCUGAUGCAGCAACGCCGCGUGCGGGAUGACGGCCUUCGGGCUGUAAACCGCUUUCGCCUGUGACGAAGCGUGAGUGACGGUAAUGGGUAAAGAAGCACCGGCUAACUACGUGCCAGCAGCCGCGGUGAUACGUAGGGUGCGAGCGUUGUCCGGAUUUAUUGGGCGUAAAGGGCUCGUAGGUGGUUGAUCGCGUCGGAAGUGUAAUCUUGGGGCUUAACCCUGAGCGUGCUUUCGAUACGGGUUGACUUGAGGAAGGUAGGGGAGAAUGGAAUUCCUGGUGGAGCGGUGGAAUGCGCAGAUAUCAGGAGGAACACCAGUGGCGAAGGCGGUUCUCUGGGCCUUUCCUGACGCUGAGGAGCGAAAGCGUGGGGAGCGAACAGGCUUAGAUACCCUGGUAGUCCACGCUGUAAACGGUGGGUACUAGGUGUGGGGUCCAUUCCACGGGUUCCGUGCCGUAGCUAACGCUUUAAGUACCCGCCUGGGGAGUACGCCGCAAGGCUAAAACUCAAAGGAAUUGACGGGGGUCAUAGCUGUUUCCU